RNAcentral lists this ribosomal RNA (286 nucleotides) under uncultured Alphaproteobacteria bacterium. Its description in RNAcentral is "partial 16S ribosomal RNA". It matches the Rfam family "Bacterial small subunit ribosomal RNA", at positions 9 to 319 of the family's 1533-position model. The record is from RNAcentral. Lineage: Bacteria; Pseudomonadati; Pseudomonadota; Alphaproteobacteria.
GAGUUUGAUCUUGGCUCAGAACGAACGCUGGCGGCAGGCUUAACACAUGCAAGUCGAACGCCCCGCAAGGGAGGUGGCGCACGGGUGGAGUAACGCGUGGAUAUCUGCCUUUUGGUUUCGGAAUAACCCCGGGAAACCUGGGGCGUAAUACCGGAUGGUUCCUACGGGAGUAAAGAUUUAUCGCCAAAAGAAUGAGUCCGCGUACGAUUAGCUAGUUGGUGAGGUAAUGGCUCACCAAGGCGACGAUCGUUAGCUGGUCUGAGAGGACGAUCAGCCACACUGGGAC